RNAcentral lists this ribosomal RNA (230 nucleotides) under uncultured bacterium. RNAcentral's name for it is "partial 16S ribosomal RNA". It matches the Rfam family "Bacterial small subunit ribosomal RNA", at positions 30 to 267 of the family's 1533-position model. The record is from RNAcentral.
UUGAACGCUGGCGGCAUGCCUUACACAUGCAAGUCGAACGGUAGAGGGGCAACCCUUGAGAGUGGCGAACGGGUGAGUAAUAUAUCGGAACGUGCCCAGUCGUGGGGGAUAACGCAGCGAAAGCUGCGCUAAUACCGCAUACGAUCUAUGGAUGAAAGCGGGGGAUCGCAAGACCUCGCGCGAUUGGAGCGGCCGAUAUCAGAUUAGGUAGUUGGUGGGGUAAAAGCCCA